GUGCUCGCUUCAGCAGCACAUGCACUAAAAUUGGUACCACAGAGAAGAUUAGCAUGGCCCCUACACAUGAUGACAUUCGUGAAGUGUUCCACAAUUUU
Small nuclear RNA from Mesocricetus auratus (golden hamster), 98 nucleotides. Lineage: Eukaryota; Metazoa; Chordata; Mammalia; Rodentia; Cricetidae. The record is from Ensembl.